RNAcentral lists this ribosomal RNA (460 nucleotides) under uncultured bacterium. RNAcentral describes it as "partial 16S ribosomal RNA". It matches the Rfam family "Bacterial small subunit ribosomal RNA", at positions 338 to 795 of the family's 1533-position model. The record is from RNAcentral.
CCUACGGGAGGCAGCAGUGAGGAAUAUUGGUCAAUGGGCGCGAGUCUGAACCAGCCAAGUAGCGUGCAGGAUGACUGCCCUACGGGUUGUAAACUUCUUUUAUACAGGAAUAAAGUGAGGCACGUGUGCCUUUUUGUAGGUACUGUAUGAAUAAGGACCGGCUAACUCCGUGCCAGCAGCCGCGGUAAUCCGGAGGAUCCGAGCGUUAUCCGGAUUUAUUGGGUUUAAAGGGAGCGCAGGUGGGUUGUUAAGUGGGUUGUGAAAGUUUGCGGCUCAACCGUAAAAUUGCAAUUGAUACUGGCAGGCUUGAGUACAGUUGAGGUAGGCGGAAUUCGUGGUGUAGCGGUGAAAUGCUUAGAUAGCACGAAGAACUCCGAUUGCGAAGGCAGCUUACUAAACUGCCACUGACAUUGAUGCUCGAAAGUGUGGGUAUCAAACAGGAUUAGAUACCCGAGUAGUC